UCCAUGCAACCGAUCACGUGGUCCAGU
RNAcentral lists this non-coding RNA (27 nucleotides) under Homo sapiens (human). Lineage: Eukaryota; Metazoa; Chordata; Mammalia; Primates; Hominidae. The record is from RNAcentral.